GGAACGUAACAAGGUUUCCGUAGGUGAACCUGCGGAAGGAUCAUUAUUGUAUAACCGAGGUGCGAGGGCUGUCGCUGACCCGAAAGGUCGUGCACGCCCGAGUGCCCUCACACACAUCCAUCUCACCCCUAUGUGCACCACCGCGUGGGUCCCCCUUUGGCUUGUUCGGAGGGGGGCUUACGUUUUCACACAAACUUUGUAUGCAGUGUAGAAUGUAUUUUUUGUUUUUGCGAUCACGCAAUCAAUACAACUUUCAACAACGGAUCUCUUGGCUCUC
RNAcentral lists this unclassified non-coding RNA (277 nucleotides) under plant metagenome. RNAcentral describes it as "partial contains small subunit ribosomal RNA, internal transcribed spacer 1, and 5.8S ribosomal RNA". The stretch from base 1 to 46 matches the Rfam family "Eukaryotic small subunit ribosomal RNA", at positions 1784 to 1831 of the family's 1831-position model. The record is from RNAcentral.